CAUGAACAAAACUCGCUGCUCCCGUUUCCUGCUCAUCGAUGCGUUGAUCCCACUCACCUGGACACAGCAAGGUCUGGGAGGGGAUCCUUCAAGAGAAUUCCCCAACGCAUCUGGACCAUGCUCAGGCGUUUUAGGGACAUCGAACAGGCAUGAGGAGGCCACGCACACUACUGAGCCUCAUUUUGACUUGUCCCGAGGAAUUUCCACUGAAAUUGGAUCAGCCUCUUUUCUGAGUGUCCACUUUUAUUUCAUGUAGGAUGCCAAAACCAGACCCUGUGGGAUAAUAAUCCAAUUUUACAUUACUUUGUCCUCAACACAUUCCACGGUGGGAUUAAAGUGCAACAUUUCUUUAAUUGAUAUCUAAAUUGCAUUAUUUUAGUGUUCCCUUUAUUUUUUUGAGCAGUGCAUACAAUCUUGUGGUGUUGAGGUGGAGCGUUAAUAACAUAGUGUUGUAAAAAGUUGCUAUUUUGAAUGGGGUAGAAGUACCCGAGUCUUGAGGGAGUUUGGGGAAAA
Hippocampus comes (tiger tail seahorse) is the source of this 513-nucleotide long non-coding RNA. RefSeq lists it as uncharacterized. The record is from RefSeq and is a predicted model, not a curated record. The transcript has 2 exons. Lineage: Eukaryota; Metazoa; Chordata; Actinopteri; Syngnathiformes; Syngnathidae.